Long non-coding RNA from Hordeum vulgare subsp. vulgare (domesticated barley), 328 nucleotides. RefSeq lists it as uncharacterized. Lineage: Eukaryota; Viridiplantae; Streptophyta; Magnoliopsida; Poales; Poaceae. The record is from RefSeq and is a predicted model, not a curated record. The transcript is spliced from 2 exons.
GUCUUACAUAUCUGUGUUGAUUGGAUUGACCCCUGCAGGAUUUCAAGGCAUGAAUUGGUUAGAAGUGGAACACGAAACUCAUAGUUAUAUUUCAGAUCAAUAUUAUGUCAUUGGCCACCUGCUAGCUCAGCGCAUUGGAAAUUCUCUGUGUUAUGUUCCAAAGAACGGAUAUGAGAAAAAUAGAAGUACGCAUACAAAUCUGCAUGCACUAGCAAGUUCCAAAUUGAUGGGUUGAGUGAUUUAUUGUACUUUUGCAUGGCUGCUAUAUCAGUAAAAAUAUGUGGACAAAUGUUUUCCUUUUAUCCCUUAUGGAUUAUAUUGGCCAUCA